This 88-nucleotide microRNA precursor is filed under the name Daphnia pulex (common water flea). Its description in RNAcentral is "Dpu-Mir-2-P5_pre stem-loop". The record is from RNAcentral. Lineage: Eukaryota; Metazoa; Arthropoda; Branchiopoda; Diplostraca; Daphniidae.
UAGGAACUACCGCUUGUGGUUGAUUGAAUUGUCGAUUUUUCCGAAUCGAUUCAAUUGUCUUAUUUCUAUCACAGUCGUAGUUACUAGA